UCCCUGGUGGUCUAGUGAUUAGGAUUAGGCGCUGUCACUGUCGUGGCCCGGGUUCGAUUCCCGAUCAGAGAA
Molecule: transfer RNA, 72 nt
Filed under: Pterocles gutturalis (yellow-throated sandgrouse)
Lineage: Eukaryota; Metazoa; Chordata; Aves; Pterocliformes; Pteroclidae
Rfam family: tRNA
About the family: Transfer RNA (tRNA) molecules are approximately 80 nucleotides in length. Their secondary structure includes four short double-helical elements and three loops (D, anti-codon, and T loops). Further hydrogen bonds mediate the characteristic L-shaped molecular structure. tRNAs have two regions of fundamental functional importance: the anti-codon, which is responsible for specific mRNA codon recognition, and the 3' end, to which the tRNAs corresponding amino acid is attached (by aminoacyl-tRNA synthetases). tRNAs cope with the degeneracy of the genetic code in two manners: having more than one tRNA (with a specific anti-codon) for a particular amino acid; and 'wobble' base-pairing, i.e. permitting non-standard base-pairing at the 3rd anti-codon position.
Source: Rfam by way of RNAcentral